UACAGAGGUCCCGAGCGUUGUUCGGAUUCACUGGGCGUAAAGGGUGCGUAGGCGGUUCUGAAAGUCUGAUGUGAAAUCUCCAGGCCCAACCUGGAAACGGCAUUAGAAACUACAGGGCUAGAGGCUUGGAGGGGGAACUGGAAUGCUCGGUGUAGCAGUGAAAUGCGUAGAGAUCGAGCGGAACACCAGUGGCGAAGGCGAGUUCCUGGACAAGUCCUGACGCUGAGGCACGAAAGCGUGGGGAGCAAACAGG
This 253-nucleotide ribosomal RNA is filed under the name uncultured bacterium. Its description in RNAcentral is "partial 16S ribosomal RNA". It matches the Rfam family "Bacterial small subunit ribosomal RNA", at positions 524 to 776 of the family's 1533-position model. The record is from RNAcentral.